Molecule: long non-coding RNA, 452 nt
Organism: Salvelinus sp. IW2-2015
Lineage: Eukaryota; Metazoa; Chordata; Actinopteri; Salmoniformes; Salmonidae
Source: RefSeq, a predicted model, not a curated record
AAAAAAUAUCCCUUUCCUACCCCCUCAGGUUUGAAUGAACAGACCAUCCAAACCUUCAAGUCUGCCAUGGGAAAGUCCCUUGCCGGGUACCAGGAAUGAUGGAAGGACAAUCUGAAGUGAUUCGACAUCCGGGCGAAUGACUUGGUUUGGAAGAAAGGCGAAAGGAAGGUGAGACCUGGGGAAACCUCGCUGCUCUUUCGCUCCUAGCUGGGAUCACCAUCCGUUAAGGGUUACUUCGGUGGAAGCCAAUAAUCAUCUCCAAUGGGAGCAGCUGGACGCUCCACACUUCAGUGAAGCCUAUGAGACAAAGACCAUCGACUGUCUAAACCACCCAGGAGGUAUGCCAUCCACCAGAAUCAGUGAGUUUGGAUCAGUCUGAUUCUCUGUGCUCUGAGUCAGAGGGGUACCAACUUGAGACCUGGAUCCACCUGAUGUCCUCCAUUACCUGUUCU